RNAcentral lists this long non-coding RNA (1759 nucleotides) under Ficedula albicollis (Collared flycatcher). RNAcentral describes it as "lncRNA (ENSFALG00000028759.1)". Lineage: Eukaryota; Metazoa; Chordata; Aves; Passeriformes; Muscicapidae. The record is from RNAcentral.
GAGAGAAAGAAGUGGAGUAUUUUUUUAAGGGGCUCUUGUGGCUGGGGAAGUUCCAGUCAGUCCAAAUUAGAUGAGUUUCUAGGUGUCUGCCUGGGUAUCCACCAGGAAAAUGCUGUUUCUGCCUUUAGACCCUUCCCUUCCAUCCAUCUCUGCACUCCUGGUGGUCUGUCCUCACCCACUCUCUGUGAUUUUCCUUCUCCCAGGCCUCCUCUUCCCAAGAUUCCUGAUCCUUUCUCUGCACUACUUUGCUCACCACUCCCUCCCUGCCACCCCCAGGAGGGAAACUCCUCUGCUCUGAAAGCAGGAACUGGCACUGGAGGCAAGCAGCACUGAGCAACCCAAGGGAUGUGGGAGAGGGCCAGCUGGAGGCUGCCAUGGCAACAGCUGGAUCUCCUUCAUCCCUCUCACCCUGCUUCCCUGCUGAUUACACUGAAACAACAGAAAAAAUAACAGUUGCUGGGAAUCAAAGAACCCUCUUCCUCCACGAAAUCACCUGGCCUCUUUCCACGCUUCCCAAAGCAAAUCUCUGGCAUCCUUGCUGCUGGUACAACAAUCUUGUGACUCUUCCUUGUACAUGGCAAGCAAAAAAGGGUUUGGUUUGCUUGCCCUUGAUGGGAAGACCUUUCUGUGCGCUUCUCCUGUGAUCUUUGAGCUCAGUGACAGAGCUGGGGCCAAAAAAAUAUCUCUGGAGGUGACUAUGACUCUUUGGGGGCUGUUCCAUGAGAAGAAUCCCCUGGGAGGAUCCAGGGUUUGGACCCAGAAGAGGUUUUGGUGGUGCUGCUUCUCCUGUGACAGCUCAGAGGAGAAGCAAGCCCAGCUCUUUGUCACAGGUCAUCAAUUCUCAGAACCUUACCUGUGCCCACAGACAUGUUCAAAUCUACCUGGUAUCACCCAGCACAGCUGGAACUUAACUAAACAAUGCAUCUCUCAGGACAAAAAGAGAGAAAUCCCGGCGGUGGGGGUCAGUUUGCUGGGAGUAGAGACAUCAGUCAGACGCAGAACGUUGGCCAAGCGCUUCCUCGGGUGCUUCACUCGGGGAACCUUGGGGGAAAAGCUGAGUCCCUCCAUCUGCUCGGUGAGAAAUCGUGCUGAGAGAGACGAGGAGCCUGGCUCUUCCCAAAGAAACAGCCCCUCCUUGCUUCCACUCAAGCAGUGCUUUGCCAGAAAGACAUGGAAUUGAUGAAGAAUGCAAAAACUCACAGCUUGUUGCUCCCUCCUCAUCCCCCCACUGAGAAUGAAAACUUGAUUUUUCCAGAAAACUUUUUUUUUUUGGGUUUGUUUUUCUGAAAUAUUUAUUUAUUUAUUCAUUCCCGUGCUUAGUAAUUAAAACAUUUUCUGGCAGGAAAAAAAUAAAAAAUAAAAAAGAGAGAAAUACCCAAAACGUAACCACCGUGCAUUACCAGAGGAAGAGAAAGGCUGCAAUUGCCAUAAAUAACACAGUGGGUCAUGAAUAAUUCAAACCAGAAUAUGGUUGUUAUUGUAAGGAGUUAUCACAGCUAAUUAUAGCCCAUUGCCAUCGUUCCCUCCAAAGCUCUGGCAUUGAUCACUGCAGGACAUGCCAAAUAUUUCACUAAAACAAAAUAUUGUGCUGGAUGCUUCCCUGUGGAUCAGCACGUCUUUCACUGAGAGAGUUUAUUGUUCUUCAGGGGUUUUUGCCCUUGGAUCAUGGCUGGAAGGAAAUUAAGAAGACCUUUCACUUAACCAAAUUGUUCAUCUCCAUCAGUCAAUUGGUCCCUGCAGACCCUUCCCAAAGUUGUUC